This 1349-nucleotide ribosomal RNA is filed under the name Vibrio harveyi. RNAcentral's name for it is "bacterial SSU rRNA". It matches the Rfam family "Bacterial small subunit ribosomal RNA", at positions 77 to 1413 of the family's 1533-position model. Lineage: Bacteria; Pseudomonadati; Pseudomonadota; Gammaproteobacteria; Vibrionales; Vibrionaceae. The record is from RNAcentral.
CCUUCGGGGAACGAUAACGGCGUCGAGCGGCGGACGGGUGAGUAAUGCCUAGGAAAUUGCCCUGAUGUGGGGGAUAACCAUCCAGAAACGAUGGCUAAUACCGCAUAAUGCCUACGGGCCAAAGAGGGGGACCUUCGGGCCUCUCGCGUCAGGAUAUGCCUAGGUGGGAUUAGCUAGUUGGUGAGGUAAGGGCUCACCAAGGCGACGAUCCCUAGCUGGUCUGAGAGGAUGAUCAGCCACACUGGAACUGAGACACGGUCCAGACACCUACGGGAGGCAGCAGUGGGGAAUAUUGCACAAGCAGCGCAAGCCUGAUGCAGCCAUGCCGCGUGUGUGAAGAAGGCCUUCGGGUUGUAAAGCACUUUCAGUCGUGAGGAAGGUAGUGUAGUUAAUAGCUGGAUUAUUUGACGUUAGCGACAGAAGAAGCACCGGCUAACUCCGUGCCAGCAGCCGCCAUAAUACGGAGGGUGCGAGCGUUAAUCGGAAUUACUGGGCGUAAAGCGCAUGCAGGUGGUUUGUUAAGUCAGAUGUGAUAGCCCGGGGCUCAACCUCCAAAUUGCAUUUGAAACUGGCAGACUAGAGUACUGUGGCGGGGGGUAGAAUUUCAGGUGUAGCGGUGAAAUGCGUAGAGAUCUGAAGGAAUACCGGUGGCGAAGGCGGCCCCCUGGACAGAUACUGACACUCAGAUGCGAAAGCGUGGGGAGCAAACAGCAUUAGAUACCCUGGUAGUCCACGCCGUAAACGCGGUCUACUUGGAGGUUGUGGCCUUGAGCCGUGGCUUUCGGAGCUAACGCGUUAAGUAGACCGCCUGGGGAGUACGUUCGCAAGAUUAAAACUCAAAUGAAUUGACGGGGGCCCGCACAAGCGGUGGAGCUUGUGGUUUAAUUCGAUGCAACGCGAAGAACCUUACCUACUCUUCACAUCCUGAGAACUUUCCAGAGAUGGAUCAGUGCCUUCGGGAACUCUGAGACAGGUGCUGCAUGGCUGUCGUCAGCUCGUGUUGUGAGCCGUUGGGUUAAGUCCCGCAACGAGCGCAACCCUUAUCCUUGUUUGCCAGCGAGUAAUGUCGGGAACUCCAGGGAGACUGCCGGUGAUAAACCGGAGGAAGGUGGGGACGACGUCAAGUCAUCAUGGCCCUUACGAGUAGGGCUACACACGUGCUACAAGAACGCAUACAGAGGGCGGCCAACUUGCACGAGUGAGCGAAUCCCAAAAAGUGCGUCGUAGUCCGGAUGUUAGUCUGCAACUCGACUCCGUGAAGUCGGAAUCGGUAGUAAUCGUGGAUCAGUAUGCCACGCGGAAUACGUUCCCGGGCCUUGUACACACCGCCCGUCACACCAUGGGAGUGG